This 72-nucleotide transfer RNA is filed under the name Hanseniaspora opuntiae. Its description in RNAcentral is "tRNA-Asp". It matches the Rfam family "tRNA". Rfam says of the family: Transfer RNA (tRNA) molecules are approximately 80 nucleotides in length. Their secondary structure includes four short double-helical elements and three loops (D, anti-codon, and T loops). Lineage: Eukaryota; Fungi; Ascomycota; Saccharomycetes; Saccharomycodales; Saccharomycodaceae. The record is from RNAcentral.
GAUUAUUUAGUUUAAGGGUAAAAUUCUAACUUGUCAUGUUAGUAGAUAGGAGUUCGAAUCUCCUAAUAAUCU